Molecule: long non-coding RNA, 1453 nt
Filed under: Phoenix dactylifera (date palm)
Lineage: Eukaryota; Viridiplantae; Streptophyta; Magnoliopsida; Arecales; Arecaceae
Description: long non-coding RNA (PDAC_LNC004859)
Source: RNAcentral
UACGGCAGAAAUAGUACUCGUAGAACCGGACCACUUAUGCGUAGGCAAGUUUAGCUUGAGCGAGUCGAGCUGUACUUGAUUAGAUUGACUACGAGCUUGAGAUUGGAAAAUUCUAAUUCCAAGUUAUUAAAUCUCUGGUUUGCUCAUGUAAGGCGGCUGCCAUUGAUAAUGGAGAGCUGGAAAGUGGAUCGAUUGUUUUAAGAGGUCUCAGACAAGCUGAUCCUUUCUCUCCCUUCUUAGCAGUGGAUGUGCCAAGUAGGAUUCUCAACUUAGCUGCAGGAGAAGAUCUUAUUCGGGGAUCAGAAAUUAUGCUGGAAAAUAUGUUCACCAGCCAACUCGAUGUGGAAAUCUCGUCUUGAAGGAUUAUUACUCCAAAAAUGGAUUUGGCACAAGAUCUAGGAGAAGGAAAGCUUCUAUCCCUGAUUGGAAUGGCAUCUGCUCUGUUCUUGAUCCCUUCUGGUAUGGGUUGGGUUUUGUUCUGGGAGAAGGUUCUUCUAUUAGAUUUUGUGACGAUAUUCAGAUUGGGAAGCAUUCUUUUGCUUCUCUACUGCAUCCCCCAAGAAGAGUGUCGCUACUCUUUCACAAUGGUGUACGUAGCUCCGCAUGGAACUGGAAUGCAAGGGUUGUGCUCUAGAAUCCUUGGAAUGGAACAGUCUCCAAGAGAUCUUCUCCCUUAUUCUACUUGGAUUUGGUCCUGACAUCCCUAAGUGUAACUUUUGCUCUUCUACUGUUUGCUCUGUUCUUGAAAAAAGGUGGCAUUCUUUGCCUGCUAUAUCCUCUUGUAUUAUUUUCAAUUUCUUAAUGGAAGGUGGGGCUUUACCUCCUCCUGUUACAUCAAAAAAACAGGGAAUUAGAUUGUUCAAGUCAAUUGGACUUGGCCGAGCUAGCUGGCAUCUCUCUGCUUGCCUCUUGUCAACACAAAACUCCAAUCGGAACCCAUAAGGUGGCACUUUCACCAUAUUUUCUCAAAAAUACUUUUUUAUUACUAAUACUUUUGUUUAACAUAUAGUUAGAAAAUGAACAAGAGAGUUUGUUCUUAAGUCAAAUCAAACUACAAUAAAUUAAUCGCGAGGAUCAUGUGGGUGUGUAUUUAGUCUCAUAUCGAUUAUUCGCCAAAAAAAUCUUGUAUACUUAUAUAGAACUAAGAAAUUCAUAAAAUAUUUUUCGACUAGUCUUUUUUAAUGAGAUCUUGGGUUGUUAUAUUAUUAUAAAUAAUAUCAGAGCAAAUUCGGUCCAUAAUCUAUAUAGGCUAGAAAAUACACUAAUAUGCAUUCAUGGCGGCUGACCACACACGGAUUAUAGUGUUUAUAAUUAGAUUUAAAUAGAUUUAAAUUUUUAGUCAAAUCAUGCUUUUGGUGAGAUUCUAAGUUGUCACGUUAACCAAUUCCUUUCUAUCACGGUAUUUGUAGGCUCCAGCUGACGACGAAAUCAGAGCACUUGACGGCAACACGGC